RNAcentral lists this ribosomal RNA (501 nucleotides) under uncultured bacterium. RNAcentral describes it as "partial 16S ribosomal RNA". It matches the Rfam family "Bacterial small subunit ribosomal RNA", at positions 30 to 523 of the family's 1533-position model. The record is from RNAcentral.
AUUGAGCGCUGGCGGCAGGCUUAACACAUGCAAGUCGACCGGAGAUGAGGUGCUUGCACCUUAUCUUAGCGGCGGACGGGUGAGUAAUGCUUAGGAAUCUGCUUAUUAGUGGGGGACAACAUUCCGAAAGGAAUGCUAAUCCCGCUCACGUCCUACGGGAGAAAGCAGGCGAUUUUCCGACCUUUCGCCAAUAGAGUAACUUAAGUGGGAUUAACUAGUUGGUGGGGGAAAGGCCUACCAAAGCGACGAUCUGUAGCGGGUCUGAGAGGAUGAUCCGCCACACUGGGACUGCGACGCGGCCCAGACUCCUACGGGAGGCAGCAGUGGGGAAUAUUGGACAAUGGGGGAAACCCUGCUCCAGCCAUGCCGCAUGUGUGAAGGAGGCCUUAUGGUUGUAAAGCACUUUAAGCGAGGAGGAGGCUACUGAGACUAAUACUCUUGGAUAGUGGACGUUACUCGCAGAAUAAGCACCGGCUAACUCUGUGCCAGCCGCCGCGGUAA